RNAcentral lists this transfer RNA (70 nucleotides) under Kallima inachus (orange oakleaf). RNAcentral describes it as "tRNA-Lys". Lineage: Eukaryota; Metazoa; Arthropoda; Insecta; Lepidoptera; Nymphalidae. The record is from RNAcentral.
CAUUAGAUGACUGAAAGCAAGUAUUGGUCUCUUAAACCACAUCAUGAUAUUUAGCAAAUAUCUCUAAUGA